GGGGGUGACCGGUUUUGACAGCAGGCAGAGUUUGAUUGUAAGCACGUCGAGAAUUGUGUGGGCUCUCGUAAAUCGGAACACUCGAACUACAAAUGGCAAUAACAGCUAUGCACUCGCUGCCUAAUUUUCAGGGAAAAUUGGCUUAAUCGCCGGGUUCAAGGCAAUUCGGCGACGAGUAUCCCGAACUUUCGUUCCGCUCUUUAACGAUUGUUCAUACGGGGUAUCAUUCAUUUAGAGAUAGUGCGGUAUGCGCCUCGGUUACCGUGCGAAAUCAAGGGGCUGGGAUUCGGGUUCGGCUGUCGGCUGCCUGGCUCGGAUAGAAGGAUUAAAGACGACUAAACGUGUAGAAACCUUUCGGAUUCCUUGUUUGGACGCGGGUUCGACUCCCGCCACCUCCAC
RNAcentral lists this transfer-messenger RNA (399 nucleotides) under uncultured Alistipes sp. It matches the Rfam family "transfer-messenger RNA". Rfam says of the family: Bacterial tmRNA, also known as 10Sa RNA or SsrA, is named for its dual tRNA and mRNA-like properties. Its role is to liberate the mRNA from a stalled ribosome. Lineage: Bacteria; Pseudomonadati; Bacteroidota; Bacteroidia; Bacteroidales; Rikenellaceae. The record is from RNAcentral.